Molecule: ribosomal RNA, 358 nt
Filed under: uncultured organism
Description: bacterial SSU rRNA
Rfam family: Bacterial small subunit ribosomal RNA
Source: RNAcentral
GGCUUAACACAUGCAAGUCGAACGCUCCGCAAGGGGAGUGGCAGACGGGUGAGUAACGCGUGGGAACGUGCCCUUCGGUUCGGAAUAACUCAGGGAAACUUGAGCUAAUACCGGAUACGUGCGAGAGCAGAAAGAUUUAUCGCCGAAGGAUCGGCCCGCGUCCGAUUAGCUAGUUGGUGAGGUAAUGGCUCACCAAGGCGACAAUCGGUAGCUGGUCUGAGAGGAUGAUCAGCCACAUUGGGACUGAGACACGGCCCAAACUCCUACGGGAGGCAGCAGUGGGGAAUAUUGGACAAUGGGCGCAAGCCUGAUCCAGCCAUGCCGCGUGAGUGAUGAAGGCCUUAGGGUUGUAAAGCUC